Molecule: ribosomal RNA, 253 nt
Filed under: uncultured bacterium
Lineage: Bacteria
Description: partial 16S ribosomal RNA
Rfam family: Bacterial small subunit ribosomal RNA
Source: RNAcentral
UACGUAGGGUGCGAGCGUUGUUCGGAUUCACUGGGCGUAAAGGGUGCGUAGGCGGUCGGGUAAGUCUGAUGUGAAAUCUCACAGCUUAACUGUGAAACUGCAUUGGAUACUAUCCGGCUCGAGGAAUGGAGGGGAGACUGGAAUACUUGGUGUAGCAGUGAAAUGCGUAGAUAUCAAGUGGAACACCAGUGGCGAAGGCGAGUCUCUGGACAUUUCCUGACGCUGAGGCACGAAAGCCAGGGGAGCAAACGGG